CAUGAGGCAGUCUCAGGCUGAACCUCCGGACCUGCGCCCAGAGAUGUGGAUCGCGCAUGAGUUGCGACGCAUUGGAGACGAGUUUAAUGCCUCUUACCCGAGGAGGGUAUUCUUGAAUCAACACCAACCCGCCGAAGACCAUCCCCAGAUGGUUAUCUUGCGACUGUUACGUUACAUUGUCCGCCUGGUGUGGAGAAUGCGUUGACAGGGUCCUCAUCACAGAGCCAAGAUACCUUCAGACAUUUCGCCCGUGCCACCCGACAGGCCUGGCCCGCGGGCUCUUGGGCCACUGCCACGUGGCCACAGGUCCUUCCCCUGGCGGUGUGCAGAAGGCAGGCAGCGCGCACCCGGCGGCCCUGGAUGUGAACUUGACCUUGUGCGCCUCGCCACAGGGCAGAAUUUCCAGUAGAAGUUUGUUGUGAAUGUAAAUGAGGGAGGGUUUUUCUUACUUUCAUUUUUUCCUUAAUGUACAAAAUCAUGGUUCUUUGGAUCAGGAGUAUGCCAGAAUGGUGUUUACAUGCCGUGUGUGGAUGUGGGUUUUUUUUUGUUUUUUUUUUUUUUUUUUUCCACCUUCUCUAAUAACAGGUUUUUUCAGAAAGGAAAUGGAAACUUUUUAACCAACUAGUGAAUGAUUUUUGUACUAAAGUUUUAAGAACCUCAGAAGAUUGUGUAAUCCUAGCAGUGGAAACUGAGCCAGCUAAUUUAUAAUGCUGACUUGGUUUAUUUUUAGAUUACAUUUUUUAAAAAAGGCAGAGAGGUGUGAUACGUCACCUUCUUCAAAGUUCUUUGAACUUUUUCUAAUUAUUAUUAAUACCAAAAGAGUUUUUAUGAAAUAGAACUGAUUAAAGGGGUAGAGGGUGGACCACUCCCAUCUUGUAAAUAUCUAUUUACCUCCUCAUAUUCAGUUUUGUCGAGGGCAAAGUUUCCGCUGGCUCCACACGGUUUUGCCGACCCUCAUCUGUGACUAGGUGCGUCAGGGCUGGCCGGCAGGUCUUCCGCAGGGUGCUUUCCUAAGUGUCCUCGCCUCAGAGCCAGUUAGCCCGUGCCUAUGUCCUGCCCAACCUGUCUGUCGUCUGUCUGUCUGUCGCUAGCAGACUGCUGGGGACAUGCUCAGUGUUGACUGCUCUUGGCGUUAGGUGUUGGUGGCAGCAAGAGCAGUGACGACAGGCUGAGUGGCCACUUUUGCACACCCCGAAGGCACAGGGCUCGCCCUGCACCCAGUCCCGGGGGUGCCAUUCCCACGCGUCAGGACAGGCGUCAGAUGGCCGGCUCCCAGGCACCAGCGUAGAGAGCAGCGCAGGGCCCUGGGCUGCGAUCCCGCGCCCCGCGUCUCUGCGCUUGCUUGGAAAUAGACCUAGUCCUCCUCUCUCCGGUGCCGUAGAGUGCUGGGCAGAGGCCGAGAUGGUCCUUGAGCCUCGGAGGCAUCUCCUUUUGCUUGGCUCAUUCUCUUAGGACACCUGGAUCUUGCCAGGCCGCUGGGGCCUCCCCCUGCCAUCCCCUGGAUUUCUGCAGGGCCCACCCCCACAUCCACACAUGGGUCAGACGUGUCAAAAGCCAAUGAGCUAAACAAGGACAAUCGGGCAGCCACUGGACAACCCAAGAGACAGAUGAGGCGUAGGGAAGGAGUCUGGACCCUGUAAAAUCUGAUGAUUUUUGAAAACUAAUCAUUAAAUAACCUUCUGAAAGGAAUACAGGCGUUUUCCAACACACCAGCAGUGCCCAACAGCUGUGGUAUUUGCUUUUUGCCUGACGGGACCAGUGUAUUCACAUUAAAUUAAAGAGGGAAAAAAUCCAUUUGUAUCUUAAUAAAUUUAUAUACGUGUGUGUAUAUAGGUAUAUGUAUGUGUAUAUAUGUAUAUAUAUAUUGUCUAUAUACUUUUUCCUUUAAGUAGAGGUGAUUUGAUUCCAUAUAUUCUUCCUUUUUAAACAUUUUUCCCCUAAAAUCUCCUUUGAGUUUUAAAUAUUUUGAAAUCUCUAUUGGAGCUCAGUGUGUUUCUUGAUGUGUUUUGAGCCCACCUGUAGGGUCCCACACAGCCCACAGUUGUGUGGUGAUGGUGUUGGGUUGCAGUCACGGCCCUACACACACCCACGUACACACGCGCGCACACACACACACACACCAAAGACCUGUUCUGGGCCCCCGCUUCCCAGAUCUCCGUGCUCGGCGCCAGCCUCUCUGACCAGAGCACUUUACAUUUCUUAAGUCCUGCGGCGCCCCGGGAGCGUGGUGGGGCCAGGGCCGGGCAUCCGCCCAUGAGCGUGCCUACCUCUGCACGGGGCCGCUGAGCCCCCAGGCUGGCGGAGGAAGCGGCUCCCAAGGAUGUAGGUGAUUCUAGGAAUUGUAGAAGUGUUAAAGAUCAGGAUGCUGGCCCCAGAACUUGAGGGAUGACUGGUUGUCGCUGUACUGUAUCUGUUUAUGCCUCCCUGUAGAAAGCCUCCUUAGUGGGGUAUACCUUUUACUUUUAUGCUUAUUAUUAUUUUAAAACUUUUUUGUAGAUCCUUUUU
This is a long non-coding RNA of Octodon degus (degu), 2505 nucleotides long. RefSeq lists it as uncharacterized. The record is from RefSeq and is a predicted model, not a curated record. Lineage: Eukaryota; Metazoa; Chordata; Mammalia; Rodentia; Octodontidae. The transcript is spliced from 2 exons.